GUUAGUUUUUAGAGUAGUGGAAAUUUAAACCAAUCAAAUGUGUUGUUAAUCUGUAAGGCUGCGAGCACUGGACGCAGCACUUCACUUUUACACGCAUGUAUGGUGGCCGGCAACUACUUUUACGCACAGCUUGUUUUGUCUCUCUCUCUUCUCUCUCUCUCUCUCUCUCUCUUUCUCUCUCUCCCUUCUCUUCUCUCUCUCUCUCUUUCCUCUCUCUCUCUCAUAAAUUUUUGGCAUGGGAAACAUACAUGUACAUUGCCAAAGCAAGUGAAAUAAACAAUCAAAAAUGAAAAGUAAUCAUUACACUCACAAAAGUUCCAAAGGAAUAUAUAGAACAACUCACACAGAGGAAUCAACAUGUAAAACCACCUUUUAUUAUUUUCAUUGGAUAAGCAUACCAAUUUGUUGUUUUCUAAUAGGUUUUCUGUCUGAAAUGCUUUAACCAAUGAUGACAACUUUUAACAACAGUUUGAUUUAUAAAACCUUAGAGCUCAAGUAAAUAUAGUGUUUUUGCCUACCUAUCAUCGAUGGGUGGUCUUGAAACGGUAUACAGACAGAGACAUGGCUGUCUAUCACCACUAGGAGGUGGUCUUGAAACGGUAUACAGACAGAGACAUGGCUGUUCAUGUGGCCAUAUACUGUAUAUUAUUAUGUUUUUAGAUAGAGAUUUUAUUGGGAUCCCCAUUAGCCGACUCCAAUGGCGACAAUGGCUAGUCUUCCUGGGUUCCGACACAUAACGAAAAAGACAUUACAGACAACAAUACUUAACGAUUGACAAACAUUUUAAAACGUUAAUAUGUAGGGGAGAGGGGUUGUGUUGUGAGAUGUUGUUUUAUUCGUUUUUUUAAAGCUAAUUUAGCUGUUUGUUUGACUACUAAUAAAACAAAUGCAGACUGAACGGUAUGCUAUUUUCAUACCAUAAUAAUAGCAUUGUGUUUUAGUCCACUGAUUGAUAAAGCCUCAUGGUGAUGCACCAUCGAGAGCAUCCUGACCGUUUGCAUCACCGCCUGGUAUGGCAACUGCUCCGCAUCUGACCAUAAGGCGCUACAGAGGGUAGUGUGUACGGCCCAGUACAUCACUGGGGCCAAGCUUCCUGCCAUCCAGGACCUCUAUACCAGGCGGUGUCAGAGGAAAGGCCAUAAAAUUGUUAGAGACUCCAGUCAGCCAAGUCAUAGACUGUUUUCUCUGCU
This 1190-nucleotide long non-coding RNA is filed under the name Salmo salar (Atlantic salmon). RNAcentral describes it as "lncRNA (ENSSSAG00000091817.1)". The record is from RNAcentral. Lineage: Eukaryota; Metazoa; Chordata; Actinopteri; Salmoniformes; Salmonidae.